UGUUCUUUAAUGUAUUAUGAAGCUAUAAAUAUAUAUAUUCUGUUCAAUCGAAUUUCAAGAGUUCAAAAUAUUGUUAAAUCUUUAAUUAAUUACUUACGAAUUUUGUGGGAUAAAAUUAGUGUUAAAAUAAAAUUUAAAUGAAUAUGGAAAUAGAUAAGUAAAUUUAUAUUACGAGAAUAACUUGUUGUUGGAUCGGAAUUUCUAGAUUAGUCAAUCUAGUGACUUUUUCUUUCUAGAAGGAUAUUCGAUACAUUGAACUUUGAUUACAUAAUUCGUAAAAUUAAAAUAUUACGUAUCCAGAAAUACAUAUACAAGAUUGUACAGAUUUUGUGCAUAGAAUUGUGCACAUUAUGAAAGAUAUUAUAAUGAAACAAACGAUAACAUUUUGCCAUUCUAAGAUAAGAUAUAAAAUUUUCAAAUGGUGAAAUAUUUUUUUAGAAUUUCGUAACAUUUCGAAAGCAUAAAACAAAACGGAGAGAAAUACACGAGCACGGCAAAGAACAUGAAACUUUCCUUGGGAAUUGCAACGACAUGCACAAGAUUGUAUAAAUUAUCGAUGUACUUUAACCAACGAGUUGUUCUCAACGCAUAGUUUAUAUAAUCCUUAGCAUUACACGAUGAAGAAUAAAUUUCUCCUCCAAUCUAAUCUCGUUUUUUUUUUCUUUUUCUUUUUCUUUUUUUUUUUUUUACACAUCUCGACUUUAAAUAUCAGUAUACACUGCUUGAUAUAAAUAGAUAUGCCCGGUUAGAACAUCGUGUUAAGUAUCCUCUCACCAAAGAAAGACAAAAACGGGUAGGAAAUCACAUGGCAUUAAGAAAAGCCAUUAAGUAGGUUCAGAGAGAAAACCAUUUCUCUUUUGACCCCAUCGAUCUAUUCGAACACGCAAUCUUAAACAUAACCAUGUAUUUAUUUAACUUUCAACGAUAUAACGACGUUUUCAUAGUCACAAAAUAUCUCACUAUUUUUCUAGUAAAUGCCGUUAAAUGUUGAAUUUCAUGUGUUGCAAAAAAUCUAAUUUAAUUAGAAAGAAAGAGAAAAAAGAAGGAAAGGGGAAAAAGUAUAUAUUUUUUUUUUUUUUUUUUUCGUUAUAUUCGUUAUAAUUUAUUCAUCCAUAGUUUUGAUAGAAACUAUAUUCAAACGCUUCCGCUUGGGCAAUCCGGACCUUGCAGUAACAUUUAGCUUCGAACGAAGCGAACUUAUUAUUUAUGCAGAGAACUCGAUAUUACGUUAAGGUUCGAGCUCUCGCUUUUAAUGGCGCUAUUGUUUGAUUCCUUCCAGAUACGUGCCUCCCUUUUUUUCUCUCUCUCUUCUCUCGACUCGUGAUGAACGUGUUCACUUAUCUCUUCCUUCGCGUUAUGUAACACCGAAAGGAAAGAAUGGUGGGUAACUGAAAAAAAAACCGAGAAAGCGAGAGAGAAGAGUGUUUCGAUUCGCCAAACGAUGAACCAUUUCAGGUUGGUCGAGGAGGAUCGAUUCUCAGCAUAACGAGAGAGCAACUUUCUACUCACGGUAUUCGUAUAAAGUUCAGCUCCACGUUUGUAAUUUGCGGUUUGUUGCGCGCGCAGCAAUCAGAUCGGUAACGUGGACCGCUAAACGAUCUUACCCGAGAAGAGCAUCGGCUAUUCUCGUCCUUUCGUUUGCGUGAAAACUGAAAUGGCGGAACGGCUUUCUAAUGUAUCACGUGGAAAGAAAGAAAUUAGAAGAUUAUAGUGAAUUGCGUUCUCUCGUGUUUUUGUUCUCGAAACAAGAAUGGAAAUUAAAAAUUGUGUUCAGUAAAGAAUAUACGUGGGACGUAACGAGCGAUUUAAAACGAUAAAAGAAUAAUUUUUUUCGAGAGGUUAUGUUUGAGAUAAGAUUGUAACAAGUGAUGAAUGUAAAUGAAUGUAAAUGAAAUCAAGCUCGAAUUGUCAAAUUGGAAAAUAUAUAUAUAGAUCCAUGUGUUGGAUAAAACAAUAUUUUAUCCAUGGAUAAAUAAAGCAAAGUUUCAAAAUACUUCGAUUUCAAUCUCUUUGAUCAAUCAUAUACAUUUGCAUCGAUUUAUCAGGAUUUUAUUUUAAAAAAAAUAGAGGAAAAAUGACAGAGAUAGAUGACAAAUUUCUGCGAGGAUUCGAUGAAUGAACAGUGAUAUUAUUCACGUUACCUCGAGCGUGUCUAUAUAAUUUCUCAUUUACACAAUGGUGCACGAGCGAUGCAUUUGCACCGUGUUGCAGCAAAUGCAACUCUACUUUAACAUAUCGAUUCACGUACGUCGAAAGUUUCAGAAGGCCACAGCAAUACGAUUGAACGAGCAAAGCCUCUAAAAGAGACGAGAGAACUUUUACACGAAUUUAAACUUUCCAUCAAGAAUGAAGAGGAUCCCGUCGUUUUGAUGAACAACGAACCGAUCAAAGGUCGAUCCUCGAUCGGUGUUAAUGAAAUUAGCGGGCGAUGGCCGAGGGAUAAGGCGCUGUGCGGAGCGGAAAACGCGCGGAAGAGUCGGCCCAGCCGGAUACCUGAUAUCGGUAUUAACUCGACCAUAAAGCAUUCCGCAGGCCCCGUCCACAAAGUGAUUGCGAUUGCGCCUCGGGCAUUACAACGCGCAGAUUUAUGAACAGGGGUUGCCUACGAACAAAAAUUGGGAAGGAGGUAGGAUAAGGGUUUCAUUUGAAAGAACGAAGGGAGUAAUGAUAUAUGUAUAUGUAGAAGGGAUGUAUGUAGGCGAUGAAGAAUGGUAAUGAAGCGGAUCUAAAGAGGAUCUCAAACGAUUCUGCCGGGAGGAUUCCGAUCCAAAUUGCCAGAAUCCUUCGAGUCUGGAGGGUGUUGGAGACGUUACAAAAUGCGUUCCGCAAUGCAGACACCGCGGAACCUUUGUACAGCUCGAUGCCAGCUGUGCGGAGUGCCAAGUAAAAACUGAAUAUUUGUCGCCUUAAUAUGUCCAAUAAAUAUGCUUCAAAUUGUGAGAAAAGACGCGGCAAAUGAAAAGCAAGGUAUUCGAUUCGUAUCACACUCAAAAUAAUUUUAAUUAAAUAGAUGAAGUGGAUUUUAAUCUCGUCAAUAAUUAUCGUUAUUAAAAUAUUUGCAAUAUCUUACUUAUUCUACAGUCGCCAAAUAAAAGCAAAAAAAUCACUAUACGUUUUCAAAAAUUAAAAUUUAUUCAACCAAUAGAAAAUUAAUAUAUUUCCGAAAAAUCAUAGAAAAAAAUAAAUAUAUAAUACGUAAUUAUAACAAAUAGAAUAUUUAAACCAAAAUAUUUAAUAUCACGGUUUACCUUGCAACAAAUAAACACUUUAUCUAAUUCAAAUAGCAAAAAAAAAAAAUCAACAUUUUCUUUCUAUUUCAAAAUGACAACAACAGGCAAGAAGAGAUUCGAACCAGCAUGAAAAUAGACAAAACUGCAUGCGAAAACUUAUUUUACGAAAUUUUCGAUCAAUCGCGAAAUAAACUGGAAAGAAAAUCGCAACGCAGAUUCGAAAAAAAAAAAACAAAAAUCACGGAAAAGCAGAUUUUCUUCUAUUUCACCGCGAAUAACAGGAAUAUCUGGACAAUUGGUAGCCCCCGCGGGGGUUAAGCCGCGGCUCGCAAUAACCGAUCGGCGCACAAAUACAAUCCCGGCUCUCUCAACCGCCCGUUUCAUUUGCAAAUAUACAUACUUCCGCAUGCUGGCCGGUAAUGGCCGUUCGAAAUUGCUCGAUCUCAAUAAAAUGGCCACGAAACUUCGCGAGCACUGUAUAUAGACCGUGGUGCGCCAAUACCAGCGCGGAGAGGGGACGCGUGUGCACCGAUACAGGUGAGAGCACACGCACACGCGCACGCGAAUAUCUCGUUGCAAUUUUACAGGGACCCGAUCAUCCUAGGGAAUUUAUAUUUCUCGUUAUCUCUCCCGCGUGCACGCGCAUGUGUGCCGCGCAUACAUCGCAGUGUGCUACUCCGUCGAGACAAUUUUCGCGUGGAAAAGUUAACGUUUGCGGCACGCUAACCGAGGAAUAUUUCAUUCUGGAAGAUCGUUCGCUUCGUUUCUGGUGUCUUGACUACCUUUGCUUGGAAGACGAAUAGGGGACUGAGUGUUGUGUCUCUUGGUCGAAACGAAAUUGAGCACAAGAAGAACUGGAUUAUCAAAGAGACAGGGGACGAUUACACACACGCGUGCAAAAAAUCCGGAAAUGUAUCGAAAAGGUGAACGCCAUACGAAGACAAGAAACGAGUAUCUGGUGAAUAUAAUACAUGAAUAUUAAUAAAGCACACACGUUGACUCGACACACGAUUCUGACUUGCUUAUAUUACACUCGGAAGUAACCGGCAAUUAUUCAAAACCAAUGACCACGUUGGGAGAAUCUUUUGAACGACCAACCAUUUAUACGAAAGAAUCCAAAACGUUUUGUACAAUCGAAUAUAAAAGAGAAUUGUAAAUUUUUUCUUUUCUAGUCAAAAAGUUUUCAGUUUUCUUAUGAAAAUUUUGUCUUCUUGUCUUAACAAUUUCUAUCAAACAGGAUAUUCUCCUCUUAUAUACUUUAUUUAAAAAAAAAACAUCGUGACUUUUUAAACUUGGAUUUUAUUACAUAUACGAAGAUUUUA
RNAcentral lists this long non-coding RNA (4552 nucleotides) under Apis mellifera (honey bee). RNAcentral describes it as "uncharacterized LOC100578461, transcript variant X1". The record is from RNAcentral. Lineage: Eukaryota; Metazoa; Arthropoda; Insecta; Hymenoptera; Apidae.